CACGUAGGCGGAAAGUUAAGUGUCUUGUGAAAUCCCCCGGCUUAACCGGGGAACUGCAGGGCAUACUGGCUUUCUUGAGGCAAGUAGGGGUACAUGGAACUCUGGGUGGAGCGGUGAAAUGCGUAGAUAUCCAGAGGAACGCCAGCGGAGAAAUCGGUGUACUGGGCUUGUUCUGACGCUGAGGUGCGAAAGCGUGGGUAGCGAACAGGAUUAGAUACCCUGGUAGUCC
This 229-nucleotide ribosomal RNA is filed under the name uncultured bacterium. RNAcentral's name for it is "partial 16S ribosomal RNA". It matches the Rfam family "Bacterial small subunit ribosomal RNA", at positions 568 to 796 of the family's 1533-position model. The record is from RNAcentral.